CGGCGAGUGAAGCGGCAGCAGCUCAGAUUUGAAAUCGGGCGCCCCCCCCGGGGGCGGCCGAGUUGUAGUCUGCAGAGGACGCCCUGGGCGCGGCGGCCGUCCGAGUUCCCUGGAACGGGACGCCGCAGAGGGUGAGAGCCCCGUCCGGUCGGACGCCAUGCGCCCGCGUAGGGCUCCUUCGACGAGUCGAGUAGUUUGGGAAUGCUGCUCAAAGCGGGAGGUAAAUGUCUUCCAAAGCUAAAUACCGGCCAGAGACCGAUAGCGCACAAGUAGAGUGAUCGAAAGAUGAAAAGCACUUUGGAAAGAGGGUUAAAGAGCACGUGAAAUUGCUGAAAGGGAAGCGCCCGCGACCAGACUUGGGCCCGGCAGGCCACCCGUCGUUCUCGGCGGGGCACCCUGCCGGGCGCAGGCCAGCAUCGGCCCGGCGCGGGGGAGAAAGGCGGCGGGAACGUGGCUCCCCCAGGGGAGAGCUUACAGCCCGCCGCGCCACGCCCCGCGCGGGGCCGAGGCACGCGCACCCGCAAGGAUGCUGGCGUAAUGGUCGCCGGCGACCCGUCUUGAAACACGGACCAAGGAGUCGUCCUCGUAUGCGAGUGUCGGGGUGCCAAACCCCUGCGCGCAGUGAAAGCGAACGCGGGUGAGAGCCGUCCGCGGCGCAUCAUCGACCGAUCCUGAUGUUCUCGGAUGGAUUUGAGUAGGAGCGUACGGGGCCGGACCCGAAAGAAGGUGAACUAUGCCUGCGUAGGGUGAAGCCAUGGGAAACCAUGGUGGAGGCUCGCAGCGGUUCUGACGUGCGAAUCGAUCGUCAAACG
This 812-nucleotide ribosomal RNA is filed under the name Gibellula sp. RNAcentral's name for it is "partial large subunit ribosomal RNA". It matches the Rfam family "Eukaryotic large subunit ribosomal RNA", at positions 87 to 911 of the family's 3401-position model. Lineage: Eukaryota; Fungi; Ascomycota; Sordariomycetes; Hypocreales; Cordycipitaceae. The record is from RNAcentral.